Non-coding RNA from Oryctolagus cuniculus (rabbit), 1811 nucleotides. The record is from RefSeq and is a predicted model, not a curated record. Lineage: Eukaryota; Metazoa; Chordata; Mammalia; Lagomorpha; Leporidae.
ACCAUUUAAUAUGUCACUACCUGUAAAAUAAGACUAAGAUUAUCAAGGAAUGAAUGAACUCCUACGUUUAGUUCAAAUGCAAAAGCUAAUUUCUUUAUAAACAUGCAGCACCACAUUCUUAACAAACACUAUAAUUUUGUUCCAUGUGCCAAUAUUGCCUCCUGAAAAAAAAAAAUCUAAGAAGACUUGAGAUGAUUUAGUGUCUCAAGAAAGAUGUCAGUUGACAGCAACCCAUCAGAUUUCACGAAUCUUUUGAUGACAAACUUGGUAAUUCAUUGUCAUUCCUCCCUCUCUCAACAGAUACACACACACACCCCUGUAUGUAUGUUUCCUUCUAUUUUAUAGGUAAGCAUCUGAAAUAUGUAGUAGACACAUGACUGUAUGAAUGUUUUACUCCUGCUAGAGGUGCAGCAGCUUUCUCACUACUUCAUCCUCUUCCUUUCAGGUGUGGCGUGUACGAACCUUACUGCUCUUGUGCGAGAGUCUAUGCCUAGACAACAGGUGACGGCUCCCAUGAACACUCCUUGCACUGAUAUGGUCUGUAGGGACUUCGGGAGUGCCACGUGCUCUAAGGUAAUCGUGCUGGUCUGAUGAACUACUGAGAAAUGCAGGUAUGUUCCCAGACCCGAGCACCCUCAGUUUUUGGGUCUCCUUUCUUUCUAAUUUUUUUUUUAAGAACAGGAGGGCUUGAGUAUAUAAAUACAGUAUGUGUAAAGGGGAAAAAUGGGAAACUCAGAAAGUAAUGCAAGUUAUAUGGAACUAUAGUUAUAUAAUAGGAUCAACUUGCCCCAAAGUCUAAAUCUUGUUAUAUCCUAAGCUGAUGCCUAAAAUUUUAAACGAGCAAGUCAUAUUAUGUUCCUUCAUGUGGUAGUUUAUUACUUUGUAAUGAAGUGAAGAGUUACAUCUCAAUAUAACAUUCAGAGCAAUUUUACAGUUUUUUUUUUCCUGUAAGCAGUCUGACAUUGAUGAAGCUGGUGUUGAAAGCACAGUUGGUACAGAGUUGUGCAUCAACCAAGCAAAACCAGAACAACUGAGAUCAAGUCAAGAACCCUUGGUCUAUACUAUGCCCUGAUUCGUAAUUCUUCCUGAAUCGCAAUUAUCCAGCUAUCUUCUCUGCAGUCUUAUUCAAUUAGACACAGCCCCACUGCUUCCAGAGUCCUGAGACUAUCUGUCAAAGUGCCUUGCGAGUGAUCAUUUGACAUUCAAUUAUUUAAUGCCGAUGGAUAUCAAUAUUUUACAUGCAUAACACAAAGAAAUGCAGAAGUCCAAAAUUAGAUGAUACACGCAGGAGAAAGAUCCUGAAAGAGGAGUCAGCCUCUCCCCUGAACCUCCAGAGUUCUUCAUUCAAAUCUUUAUCACGGUUACAGCAGCAGGAUCUGUGUUGUUGUCAUCGUCUUAUCCUAAUGGAGGACCUUGUACACAAGAAGCUCCCAGUAACUUUUUACUGAAUAUUUGCCUGCUGUAUGAAUGAAUGGAAAGGGGCGCCCUGUGUUCAUGAAAUCGCUCACUGUUUGCAGCCCAUUUCAAUGUCCUGCUUUGCUAGAGAUUUGCCACUUUUGGAAAGAUACUGCCUCCAGGUAAAGUCUGUUUUAAGAUGGACUAAGAAGUUCAGAGUUGCUGCAAGAGGGCCCUGGGGAGGAAGUACUAAGAGGAAUAUGUUUACAAUACACUUAAAGCUUCAGCUCGAAGUCUGCUAGUCUGCCAUACAGCUGACCAUUCUGCUGUCCAUUCUGCAUUGUAUCUGCCUGGGAGUCUUUCUGACUUUUGGAAGCCCACACCUUGGCUCGCCUCUUCUUAUCUCUAUGUCCAUC